RNAcentral lists this unclassified non-coding RNA (392 nucleotides) under soil metagenome. RNAcentral describes it as "partial contains 5.8S ribosomal RNA, internal transcribed spacer 2, and large subunit ribosomal RNA". The stretch from base 1 to 122 matches the Rfam family "5.8S ribosomal RNA", at positions 35 to 154 of the family's 154-position model. The record is from RNAcentral.
GAUGAAGAACGCAGCGAAAUGCGAUACUUGGUGUGAAUUGCAGAAUCCCGUGAACCAUCGAGUCUUUGAACGCAAGUUGCGCCCGAAGCCAUUAGGCCGAGGGCACGCCUGCCUGGGCGUCACACGUCGUUGCCCCCCCCAUCUACUCCUUCGGGAUUGCGGGGGGCGGAUGAUGGCCUCCCGUGCGCCUCGCCGCGCGGUUGGCAUAAAUGCCAAGUCCUCGGCGACGCACGCCACGACAAUCGGUGGUUGCGAAACCUCGGUUGCCCGUCGUGUGCGGUCGUCGCGCAUCGAGGGCUCGAAAAAAUUGCCGAGUUCCGGCUCGGCUUUCAACGCGACCCCAGGUCAGGCGGGGUUACCCGCUGAAUUUAAGCAUAUCAUUAAGCGGAGGA